Molecule: transfer RNA, 74 nt
Filed under: Spirulina sp. SIO3F2
Lineage: Bacteria; Bacillati; Cyanobacteriota; Cyanophyceae; Spirulinales; Spirulinaceae
Description: tRNA-Gly
Rfam family: tRNA
About the family: Transfer RNA (tRNA) molecules are approximately 80 nucleotides in length. Their secondary structure includes four short double-helical elements and three loops (D, anti-codon, and T loops).
Source: RNAcentral
GCGGAUAUAGUGUAACGGCAGCACGUGAGGUUUCCACCCUUUUAGUCUCGGUUCAAAUCCGUGUAUCCGCUCCA